CAAAGUCAUGUGGACGAGGGUAGUGUAGCCAAUAUCCUGCAACUUUUAGUAGUCCAAUAAAUAGGCAUGGAGGCCAAGAUCAACAAGUCAGCUAGGUCUCUGACUGGCUUCAAUGGAGCAAGUACCCCUUAAUGAAAGCCCGAGAAAGACGUCGAGCUAGUACCCCUUGAUCUUGACAAGCGAGAGAGAAGCGCUGAUCAAUUGGCUUCUAAGCCUAGAAGAGAAGGUGGAGCUGACCACUUUCCUCAAGAACAAUAAAGACGUGUUCACAUGGUCACCAUUUAACAUGCUAGGCAUCAAUCCGC
Molecule: long non-coding RNA, 305 nt
Filed under: Prunus persica (peach)
Lineage: Eukaryota; Viridiplantae; Streptophyta; Magnoliopsida; Rosales; Rosaceae
Description: long non-coding RNA (PPER_LNC000976)
Source: RNAcentral